Molecule: ribosomal RNA, 431 nt
Filed under: uncultured bacterium
Lineage: Bacteria
Description: bacterial SSU rRNA
Rfam family: Bacterial small subunit ribosomal RNA
Source: RNAcentral
CCUACGGGAGGCAGCAGUAAGGAAUAUUGGACAAUGGGCGAGAGCCUGAUCCAGCCAUCCCGCGUGCAGGAAGACGGCCCUCUGGGUUGUAAACUGCUUUUAUAAGGGAAGAACAGCCUCGAUUAAUCGGGGUAUGACUGUACCUUAGGAAUAAGCCCCGGCUAACUCCGUGCCAGCAGCCGCGGUAAUACGGAGGGUGCAAGCUUUAUCCGGAAUCACUGGGUUUAAAGGGUGCGUAGGCGGUUACGUCAGUCAGAGGUGAAAGGUUACAGCUUAACUGUGAGAUGGCCUUUGAAACUGCGUAGCUUGAAUCAGAUAGAGGUUAGUGGAAUGCGACAUGUAGCGGUGAAAUGCAUAGAUAUGUCGUGGAAUACCGAUUGCGAAGGCAGCUAACUGGGUCUUGAUUGACGCUGAGGCACGAAAGCGUGGGG